Long non-coding RNA from Homo sapiens (human), 3430 nucleotides. RefSeq lists it as uncharacterized. The record is from RefSeq and is a predicted model, not a curated record. NCBI's taxonomy places the organism in Eukaryota, Metazoa, Chordata, Mammalia, Primates, Hominidae. The transcript has 2 exons.
GCACACAACGAAGGAGAGGAAGAAGGGAGGAAGGCACUUCACAAGCAGAGCUGAGCCAGCAGGGCAGCAAGGCAGAAAGGGACUGAGAUUGUACCUGGAAGUAUCCCAGUGGCUGGAUAUUCAAGAUCAUUAUGUCCAUGCCAGAGAAAUCAAGUUAUACCACCACUUCUUGGCCUUUUGCCUAAGAUCAAGUGUAGAAAUCAAGUUAAACCAAACCAAGUGAGGAUUUCAGUUAUUUCUCUGAAAAGCUGGAAGUAGUCUCUUUGAAAACCAGUACAAGAUAAGGAUGCCCUUUCUUUCCACUCCUAUUCAACAUAGUAUUAGAAGUUCUGGCCAGGACAAUCAGGCAAGAGAAAGAAAUAAAGGGUAUUUAAUUAGGAAGAGAGGAAGUCUAGUUGUCUCUGUUUGCAGACGACAUGAUUGUAUAUUUAGAAAGCCCCAUCAUCUCAGCCCAAAAACUUCUUGAACUGAUAAGCAACUUCAUCAAAGUCUCAGGAUCUAAAAUCAAUGUGCAAGAAUCACAAGGAUUUAUUUACAUCAACAAUAGGCAAGCAGAAAGCCAAAUCAUAGGUGAACUCCCAUUUAUAAUUGCUACAGAGAGAAUAAAGUACCUAAGAAUACAGCUAAAAAGGGACAUGAAGGACCUCUUCAGGGAGAACUACAAAACACUGGUCAAAGAUAUAAGAGAGGACACAAAGAAAUGGAAAAACAUUUCACCCUCAUGGACAGGAAGAAUCAAUAUCAUGAAAAUGGCCAUACUGCCCAAAGUAAUUUAUAGAUUCAAUGCUAUUCCCAUCAAACUACCAUUGACAUUCUUCACCGAAUUAGAAAAACCUAUUUUAAAUUUCAUAUGAAAUCAAAAAAGACCCUGUAUAGCCAAGACAAUCCUAAGCAAAAAGAACAAAGCUGGAGACAUCAUGCUACCUGACUUCAAACUAUACGACAAGCCUACAGUAACCAAAACAGCAAGGCACUGGUACCAAAAGAGAUAUAUAGACCAAUGGAACAGAAGAGAGACCUCAGAAAUAACACCAAACAUCUACAACCAUCUGAUCUUCGACAAACCUGACAAAAACAAAAUAGGAAAAAGGAUCUUCUAUUCAGUAAAUGCUGCUAGGAAAACUGGCUAGCCAUAUGCAGAAAACUGAAACUGGACUCCUGCCAUACACCUUAUACAAAAACUAACUCAACAUGGAUUAAACACUUAAAUGUAAAACCCAAAACCAUAAAAACCCUAGAAGAAAACCUAGGAAAUCCAUUCAGGACAUAGGCAUGGGAAAAGAUUUCAUGGCAAAAACACCAAAAGCAAUUGCAACAAAAGCCAAAAUUGACUAAUGGGAUCUAAUUAAUCUAAAGAGCUUCUGCACAGCAAAAGAAACUAUCAUCAGAGUAAACAGGCAAUCUACAGAAGGGGAGAAAAUUUUUGAAAUCUACCCAUCUGACAAAGGUCUGAUAUUCAGAAUUUACAAGAAAAAAACAACCCCAUCAAAAAAUGAGCAAAAGGUAUGAACAUACACUUCUUAAAAGAAGACAUUCACGUGGCCAACAAACAUAUGAAAUAAAGCUCAACAACACUGAUCAUCAGUGAAAUGCAAAUUGAAACCACAAUGAGAUACCAUUUCAUGCCAGUCAGAAUGGCAGUUAUUAAAAAGUCAGGAAACAAUAGAUGCUGGAGAGGAUGUGAAGAAAUAGAAAUGCUUUUACACUGUUGUUGAGGAUGUAAGUUAGUUCAACAAUAGUGGAAGACAGUAUGGUGAUUCCUCAAGGACCUAGAACCAGAAAUACCAUUUGACCCAGCAAUCUUAUUAUGGUGUAUAUACACAAAUAAUUAUAAAUCAUUCUACUACAAAGACUCAUGCACACGUAUGUUUAUUGCAGCACUAUUUACAGUAGCAAAGACGUGGAACCAACCCAAAUGCCCAUCAAUGAUAGACUGAAUGUGGUACAUGUACACCACGGAAUACUAUGCAGCCAUAAAAAAGAAUGAGAUCAUGUUCUUUGCAGGGACAUGGAAGAAGCUGGAAGCCAUCAUUCUCAGCAAACUAACACAGGAACAGAAAACCAAACACUGCAUGUUCUCCUUCAUAAAUGGGAGUUGAUCAUUAAGAACACAUCGACACAGAAAGGUGAACAACACACACCAGGGCCUGUUGGGGGGUGAGGGGUGAGGGGAGGAAACAUAGAGGAUUGGUCAGUAAGUGCAGCAAACCACCAUGGCACAUGUAUACCUAUGUAACAUACCUGCACAUUCUGCAAAAGUAUCCAGUUUGUUUAUUUUUUGUUUUUUGUGGGGUUUUUUUUAGAAGAAAUAAAUUAAAAAAGAAAGAAACCUGAAGAUAAUGGCUUAAAUAGGAUAAAAGUUUAUCACACCUGUAAAAACUCCAAGUCCAUUCCAAGGUGGCAUGUUACUCUGCUCUACAAAGAUACCAGGGGCCCAGGUUUGUUUUUUGUUUUUCUUGUGAUUCUGCCAUCACUGUGGUAUUCACUUUAUCCCUCAUGUUUCAAGAUACCCAUAAUAGAAUUAAAGUCAGUGGGGAGAAGAAAAGAGGAGGGCUGGCCCCUUCCACUUUAACAAUGCUACUCUGAAGCUGCUUUUUUUUUUUUUUCUGUUUUGACACAAAGUCUUGCUCUGUCACCCAGGCUGGAGUACAGUGGCACAAUCUCGGCUCACUACCACUUCUGCCUGCCGGGUUCAUGUGAUUCUCUUCCCUCAGCCUCCUGAGUAGUUAGGGUUACAGGCACUCACCAUCAUGACCAGCUAAUUUUUGUAUUUUUAUAGAUAUGGGGUUUCACCAUGUUGGCCAGGCUGUUCUUGAAUGCCUGACCUCACGUGAUCCACCCUCCUUGGCCUCCCAAAGUGCUGGGAUUACAGGCAUGAGCCACCACACCAAGCAUCAGAAUACUACUCUGAAGUUUCAUGCAUUAUUUUUUCACAUGAUAUUGUCAAGAACCUAUUCAUGUAACAAUAUCUGUAUUCAAGGAAAUCUGGAAAACAAUCUUUUUUUUUUUCCCCUGAGUUGCCAUACACCUGCUUAACAUGUCUACUUUUAUAGCAAGGGAGAACAAUUAUUGAGAGAUAAGUAGCAGUCUCUGUCAUACUUUUGUAGAAUCUUAAUUUUGAGAAGCUGUAAUUAAUCUUGUAAUUAAUCAUUUGUAUACUUUUUCAAAAAACAUUCAUUGAAUAUCUAACAUCUCACUACCAAGAGUAGAUCAGGACCUCCUGUUCCACUCUUAUAGAUUCUAAUACCUUUCAUUUGUAACAUUAGUUAAUAAUAUUAUGAUUUUGAAAUUUGAUUAAAGCUUAUCUUUCCCACAAGACUUUAGACCCCAUGAAAGUGGAUAUUGUUGUUCAUCAUUUUAUCUCUAAUGCCUGGCACCUACUAUGUGAUUGAUGUAUAAUUUUUGCAUAAAUAAAUAAGUAAAUAAAUAA